This 520-nucleotide ribosomal RNA is filed under the name uncultured Glomus. RNAcentral describes it as "SSU rRNA". It matches the Rfam family "Eukaryotic small subunit ribosomal RNA", at positions 569 to 1087 of the family's 1831-position model. Lineage: Eukaryota; Fungi; Glomeromycota; Glomeromycetes; Glomerales; Glomeraceae. The record is from RNAcentral.
AGCAGCCGCGGUAAUUCCAGCUCCAAUAGCGUAUAUUAAAGUUGUUGCAAGUUAAAAAGCUCGUAGUUGAAUUUCGGGAUCAGUAUGUUGGUCGUGCUUCGGUACGUACUGUCAUUACUGGUUUCUCCCUUCUGAAGAACCUUGAUGUCAUUAAUUUGGUGUCUUGGGGAAUCAGGACUGUUACUUUGAAAAAAAUUAGAGUGUUUAAAGCAGGCAUACGCUUGAAUACAUUAGCAUGGAAUAAUGAAAUAGGACGUUUGAUUCUAUUUUGUUGGUUUCUAGGAUCGACGUAAUGAUUAAUAGGGAUAGUUGGGGGCAUUAGUAUUCAAUUGUCAGAGGUGAAAUUCUUGGAUUUAUUGAAGACUAACUACUGCGAAAGCAUUUGCCAAGGAUGUUUUCAAUUAAUCUAAGAACGAAAGUUAGGGGAUCGAAGACGAUCAGAUACCGUCGUAGUCUUAACCAUAAACUAUGCCGACUAGGGAUCGGAUGAUGUUAUUUUUAAUGACUCAUUCGGCGUACC